This 197-nucleotide ribosomal RNA is filed under the name uncultured bacterium. RNAcentral describes it as "partial 16S ribosomal RNA". It matches the Rfam family "Bacterial small subunit ribosomal RNA", at positions 335 to 524 of the family's 1533-position model. The record is from RNAcentral.
ACUCCUACGGGAGGCAGCAGUAGGGAAUCUUCCGCAAUGGACGAAAGUCUGACGGAGCAACGCCGCGUGAGUGAUGAAGGCUUUCGGGUCGUAAAACUCUGUUGUUAGGGAAGAACAAGUACGAGAGUAACUGCUCGUUCCUUGACGGCACCUAACCAGAAAGCCACGGCUAACUACGUGCCAGCAGCCGCGGUAAU